UGCUUUACACAUGCAAGUCGAACGGUAACAGGCCGCAAGGUGCUGACGAGUGGCGAACGGGUGAGUAAUGCAUCGGAACGUGCCCAGUCGUGGGGGAUAACGCAGCGAAAGCUGUGCUAAUACCGCAUACGAUCUAUGGAUGAAAGCGGGGGACCGUAAGGCCUCGCGCGAUUGGAGCGGCCGAUGUCAGAUUAGCUAGUUGGUGGGGUAAAGGCCCACCAAGGCGACGAUCUGUAGCUGGUCUGAGAGGACGACCAGCCACACUGGGACUGAGACACGGCCCAGACUCCUACGGGAGGCAGCAGUGGGGAAUUUUGGACAAUGGGCGCAAGCCUGAUCCAGCAAUGCCGCGUGCAGGAAGAAGGCCUUCGGGUUGUAAACUGC
This 384-nucleotide ribosomal RNA is filed under the name uncultured organism. Its description in RNAcentral is "bacterial SSU rRNA". It matches the Rfam family "Bacterial small subunit ribosomal RNA", at positions 45 to 433 of the family's 1533-position model. The record is from RNAcentral.